GAUGAAGAACGUAGCGAAAUGCGAUACUUGGUGUGAAUUGCAGAAUCCCGUGAACCAUCGAGUCUUUGAACGCAAGUUGCGCCCGAAGCCGUCAGGCCGAGGGCACGCCUGCCUGGGCGUCACACGCCGUUGCCCCCCCGCGCCCCGCACCCAACGCUUUGGGAGCGACCGCGGGGCGGGCUGAUGAUGGCCUCCCGUGCGCUCCGCCGCGCGGUUGGCCCAAAUACCGAGUCCCCGGCGACGUGCGCCACGACGAUCGGUGGUUGAGAGACCUCUGUCGCAAGUCGUGCGCGCCCGUCGCAUCACGCGGGCUCGCAUAGCGCCUCGCGCCGCACCCGGUGCGGAGCUUUCAACGCGACCCCAGGUCAGGCGGGGUUACCCGCUGAAUUUAAGCAUAUCAAUAAGCGGAGGA
Molecule: unclassified non-coding RNA, 412 nt
Filed under: soil metagenome
Description: partial contains 5.8S ribosomal RNA, internal transcribed spacer 2, and large subunit ribosomal RNA
Rfam family: 5.8S ribosomal RNA (bases 1-122)
Source: RNAcentral